UUAAGCGACUAAGCGUACACGGUGGAUGCCCUGGCAGUCAGAGGCGAUGAAGGACGUGCUAAUCUGCGAUAAGCGUCGGUAAGGUGAUAUGAACCGUUAUAACCGGCGAUUUCCGAAUGGGGAAACCCAGUGUGUUUCGACACACUAUCAUUAACUGAAUCCAUAGGUUAAUGAGGCGAACCGGGGGAACUGAAACAUCUAAGUACCCCGAGGAAAAGAAAUCAACCGAGAUUCCCCCAGUAGCGGCGAGCGAACGGGGAGCAGCCCAGAGCCUGAAUCAGUGUGUGUGUUAGUGGAAGCGUCUGGAAAGGCGCGCGAUACAGGGUGACAGCCCCGUACACAAAAAUGCACAUGCUGUGAGCUCGAUGAGUAGGGCGGGACACGUGGUAUCCUGUCUGAAUAUGGGGGGACCAUCCUCCAAGGCUAAAUACUCCUGACUGACCGAUAGUGAACCAGUACCGUGAGGGAAAGGCGAAAAGAACCCCGGCGAGGGGAGUGAAAAAGAACCUGAAACCGUGUACGUACAAGCAGUGGGAGCACGCUUAGGCGUGUGACUGCGUACCUUUUGUAUAAUGGGUCAGCGACUUAUAUUCUGUAGCAAGGUUAACCGAAUAGGGGAGCCGAAGGGAAACCGAGUCUUAACUGGGCGUUAAGUUGCAGGGUAUAGACCCGAAACCCGGUGAUCUAGCCAUGGGCAGGUUGAAGGUUGGGUAACACUAACUGGAGGACCGAACCGACUAAUGUUGAAAAAUUAGCGGAUGACUUGUGGCUGGGGGUGAAAGGCCAAUCAAACCGGGAGAUAGCUGGUUCUCCCCGAAAGCUAUUUAGGUAGCGCCUCGUGAACUCAUCUCCGGGGGUAGAGCACUGUUUCGGCAAGGGGGUCAUCCCGACUUACCAACCCGAUGCAAACUGCGAAUACCGGAGAAUGUUAUCACGGGAGACACACGGCGGGUGCUAACGUCCGUCGUGAAGAGGGAAACAACCCAGACCGCCAGCUAAGGUCCCAAAGUCAUGGUUAAGUGGGAAACGAUGUGGGAAGGCCCAGACAGCCAGGAUGUUGGCUUAGAAGCAGCCAUCAUUUAAAGAAAGCGUAAUAGCUCACUGGUCGAGUCGGCCUGCGCGGAAGAUGUAACGGGGCUAAACCAUGCACCGAAGCUGCGGCAGCGACGCUUAUGCGUUGUUGGGUAGGGGAGCGUUCUGUAAGCCUGUGAAGGUGUACUGUGAGGUAUGCUGGAGGUAUCAGAAGUGCGAAUGCUGACAUAAGUAACGAUAAAGCGGGUGAAAAGCCCGCUCGCCGGAAGACCAAGGGUUCCUGUCCAACGUUAAUCGGGGCAGGGUGAGUCGACCCCUAAGGCGAGGCCGAAAGGCGUAGUCGAUGGGAAACAGGUUAAUAUUCCUGUACUUGGUGUUACUGCGAAGGGGGGACGGAGAAGGCUAUGUUGGCCGGGCGACGGUUGUCCCGGUUUAAGCGUGUAGGCUGGUUUUCCAGGCAAAUCCGGAAAAUCAAGGCUGAGGCGUGAUGACGAGGCACUACGGUGCUGAAGCAACAAAUGCCCUGCUUCCAGGAAAAGCCUCUAAGCAUCAGGUAACAUCAAAUCGUACCCCAAACCGACACAGGUGGUCAGGUAGAGAAUACCAAGGCGCUUGAGAGAACUCGGGUGAAGGAACUAGGCAAAAUGGUGCCGUAACUUCGGGAGAAGGCACGCUGAUAUGUAGGUGAAGCGACUUGCUCGUGGAGCUGAAAUCAGUCGAAGAUACCAGCUGGCUGCAACUGUUUAUUAAAAACACAGCACUGUGCAAACACGAAAGUGGACGUAUACGGUGUGACGCCUGCCCGGUGCCGGAAGGUUAAUUGAUGGGGUCAGCGCAAGCGAAGCUCUUGAUCGAAGCCCCGGUAAACGGCGGCCGUAACUAUAACGGUCCUAAGGUAGCGAAAUUCCUUGUCGGGUAAGUUCCGACCUGCACGAAUGGCGUAAUGAUGGCCAGGCUGUCUCCACCCGAGACUCAGUGAAAUUGAACUCGCUGUGAAGAUGCAGUGUACCCGCGGCAAGACGGAAAGACCCCGUGAACCUUUACUAUAGCUUGACACUGAACAUUGAGCCUUGAUGUGUAGGAUAGGUGGGAGGCUUUGAAGUGUGGACGCCAGUCUGCAUGGAGCCGACCUUGAAAUACCACCCUUUAAUGUUUGAUGUUCUAACGUUGACCCGUAAUCCGGGUUGCGGACAGUGUCUGGUGGGUAGUUUGACUGGGGCGGUCUCCUCCUAAAGAGUAACGGAGGAGCACGAAGGUUGGCUAAUCCUGGUCGGACAUCAGGAGGUUAGUGCAAUGGCAUAAGCCAGCUUGACUGCGAGCGUGACGGCGCGAGCAGGUGCGAAAGCAGGUCAUAGUGAUCCGGUGGUUCUGAAUGGAAGGGCCAUCGCUCAACGGAUAAAAGGUACUCCGGGGAUAACAGGCUGAUACCGCCCAAGAGUUCAUAUCGACGGCGGUGUUUGGCACCUCGAUGUCGGCUCAUCACAUCCUGGGGCUGAAGUAGGUCCCAAGGGUAUGGCUGUUCGCCAUUUAAAGUGGUACGCGAGCUGGGUUUAGAACGUCGUGAGACAGUUCGGUCCCUAUCUGCCGUGGGCGCUGGAGAACUGAGGGGGGCUGCUCCUAGUACGAGAGGACCGGAGUGGACGCAUCACUGGUGUUCGGGUUGUCAUGCCAAUGGCACUGCCCGGUAGCUAAAUGCGGAAGAGAUAAGUGCUGAAAGCAUCUAAGCACGAAACUUGCCCCGAGAUGAGUUCUCCCUGACUCCUUGAGAGUCCUGAAGGAACGUUGAAGACGACGACGUUGAUAGGCCGGGUGUGUAAGCGCAGCGAUGCGUUGAGCUAACCGGUACUAAUGAACCGUGAGGCUUAACCUU
Molecule: ribosomal RNA, 2902 nt
Filed under: Escherichia coli P0299438.2
Lineage: Bacteria; Pseudomonadati; Pseudomonadota; Gammaproteobacteria; Enterobacterales; Enterobacteriaceae
Also listed under: 1 other name
Description: bacterial LSU rRNA
Rfam family: Bacterial large subunit ribosomal RNA
Source: RNAcentral